GACGAACGCUGGCGGCGGGCUUAACACAUGCAAGUCGAACGAAGUGGCGAACGGGUGAGUAAUACGUGGGUAACCUGCCCUCCUUUUUGGGAUAAGACUUGGAAACGGGGUCUAAAACCGAAUAACGGGGGAUGGGCUCGGGGCCGAUCAGCUUGGUGGUGGGGGGGUGGCCUACCAAGGCGGUGACGGGUAGCCGGGCUGAGAGGGUGACCGGGAACAUUGGGACGGAGAUACGGCCCAGGAGAGUACGGGAGGGAGCAUAGGGGGAUAUUGGAGAAUGGCCGAAAGCGUGAUGCAGCGACUCUGAGUGGGGGAUGAAGGUUUUAGGGUUGUAACACUGUGUCGCUAUGGAGCGGGUAGGUGGAGAAGAAGCGCCGGCUAACUACGUGCCAGCAGCCGCGGUAAUAC
This 408-nucleotide ribosomal RNA is filed under the name uncultured bacterium. RNAcentral describes it as "partial 16S ribosomal RNA". It matches the Rfam family "Bacterial small subunit ribosomal RNA", at positions 28 to 526 of the family's 1533-position model. The record is from RNAcentral.